This 1540-nucleotide ribosomal RNA is filed under the name Staphylococcus aureus. RNAcentral describes it as "16S ribosomal RNA". It matches the Rfam family "Bacterial small subunit ribosomal RNA". Lineage: Bacteria; Bacillati; Bacillota; Bacilli; Caryophanales; Staphylococcaceae. The record is from RNAcentral.
AGAGUUUGAUCCUGGCUCAGGAUGAACGCUGGCGGCGUGCCUAAUACAUGCAAGUCGAGCGAACGGACGAGAAGCUUGCUUCUCUGAUGUUAGCGGCGGACGGGUGAGUAACACGUGGAUAACCUACCUAUAAGACUGGGAUAACUUCGGGAAACCGGAGCUAAUACCGGAUAAUAUUUUGAACCGCAUGGUUCAAAAGUGAAAGACGGUCUUGCUGUCACUUAUAGAUGGAUCCGCGCUGCAUUAGCUAGUUGGUAAGAUAACGGCUUACCAAGGCAACGAUGCAUAGCCGACCUGAGAGGGUGAUCGGCCACACUGGAACUGAGACACGGUCCAGACUCCUACGGGAGGCAGCAGUAGGGAAUCUUCCGCAAUGGGCGAAAGCCUGACGGAGCAACGCCGCGUGAGUGAUGAAGGUCUUCGGAUCGUAAAACUCUGUUAUUAGGGAAGAACAUAUGUGUAAGUAACUGUGCACAUCUUGACGGUACCUAAUCAGAAAGCCACGGCUAACUACGUGCCAGCAGCCGCGGUAAUACGUAGGUGGCAAGCGUUAUCCGGAAUUAUUGGGCGUAAAGCGCGCGUAGGCGGUUUUUUAAGUCUGAUGUGAAAGCCCACGGCUCAACCGUGGAGGGUCAUUGGAAACUGGAAAACUUGAGUGCAGAAGAGGAAAGUGGAAUUCCAUGUGUAGCGGUGAAAUGCGCAGAGAUAUGGAGGAACACCAGUGGCGAAGGCGACUUUCUGGUCUGUAACUGACGCUGAUGUGCGAAAGCGUGGGGAUCAAACAGGAUUAGAUACCCUGGUAGUCCACGCCGUAAACGAUGAGUGCUAAGUGUUAGGGGGUUUCCGCCCCUUAGUGCUGCAGCUAACGCAUUAAGCACUCCGCCUGGGGAGUACGACCGCAAGGUUGAAACUCAAAGGAAUUGACGGGGACCCGCACAAGCGGUGGAGCAUGUGGUUUAAUUCGAAGCAACGCGAAGAACCUUACCAAAUCUUGACAUCCUUUGACAACUCUAGAGAUAGAGCCUUCCCCUUCGGGGGACAAAGUGACAGGUGGUGCAUGGUUGUCGUCAGCUCGUGUCGUGAGAUGUUGGGUUAAGUCCCGCAACGAGCGCAACCCUUAAGCUUAGUUGCCAUCAUUAAGUUGGGCACUCUAAGUUGACUGCCGGUGACAAACCGGAGGAAGGUGGGGAUGACGUCAAAUCAUCAUGCCCCUUAUGAUUUGGGCUACACACGUGCUACAAUGGACAAUACAAAGGGCAGCGAAACCGCGAGGUCAAGCAAAUCCCAUAAAGUUGUUCUCAGUUCGGAUUGUAGUCUGCAACUCGACUACAUGAAGCUGGAAUCGCUAGUAAUCGUAGAUCAGCAUGCUACGGUGAAUACGUUCCCGGGUCUUGUACACACCGCCCGUCACACCACGAGAGUUUGUAACACCCGAAGCCGGUGGAGUAACCUUUUAGGAGCUAGCCGUCGAAGGUGGGACAAAUGAUUGGGGUGAAGUCGUAACAAGGUAGCCGUAUCGGAAGGUGCGGCUGGAUCACCU